CCCAUUCCCUCUUGAGACAUGCAAAUGGCCAACUGACCCCAGUGAGGAUGUGCUUUCUCCAUUAAUAGCUCUCACACCAAACAAGAACAGAGAACCUGGGGUUUCAUCAAGAUCAAUCACACAUGAAGCUGUCACUUGUUCCCCAGGAGAGGAUGAUG
Long non-coding RNA from Myripristis murdjan (pinecone soldierfish), 158 nucleotides. RefSeq lists it as uncharacterized. The transcript has 4 exons. The record is from RefSeq and is a predicted model, not a curated record. Lineage: Eukaryota; Metazoa; Chordata; Actinopteri; Holocentriformes; Holocentridae.